Molecule: long non-coding RNA, 1542 nt
Filed under: Felis catus (domestic cat)
Lineage: Eukaryota; Metazoa; Chordata; Mammalia; Carnivora; Felidae
Description: lncRNA (ENSFCAG00000051570.1)
Source: RNAcentral
CUCACUGUGGCUUUUAGUGUCCUUCAUCUUUGUACUUGAGGGCUCGAUGCAGUGGUACUUCUGAAUUAGAAACUAAGACUGGUCAUUGGGUUCUUCAUGCCAGGGGAAAAUGGCAGAAAAGUGGGAUACUAUAUAGCUAGGGUGACUAACCAUGCCUAGUAAGAAUACUAUGAUUACUGCUGUGCAGUUAGGGAUCCACUAAGUUCCUAUCAUAUUCCUCCUUUCUUUUAUGUUCUUGGUGGAAAAGGUUAGUGGGAGACCGUUGUCCCUAUGUAGGUAAGACCACUAAGAAUGGAGGCCAUUCAAGAAUCAAGGUUCAGGCUACCCAUCAGGGACAUAGCUAAGGGACUAGCAGAAGGCAAGGAGAUCACAGAAUGGGCAUAAAUACCAGCUCUGGCUUCAGGAGAAGUGGCAGAUAGGAAGAAUAUGGCCUGUUUCCUUGAUUGUUGUGACAUGACUUAGAAAAAAGCAUCUUCUAUCCAUAUUGUUUGUAAAGUGUGUUGUUGAUGGUUAAGUAUUCCUUUUGGACUAUAGACUGAAGCAGAAUUUGAGGGGGAAUAAAUAUUAUCCAAAGUAGAACUCCUCAAAGUGGGGAACUGCAGGCUGGUGCCAGUGUUUGAACUGUUUAUUAUUGGUUCAUGAUGCAAGAAGUAUAGAAAUAGAGUUUUUAAAAUUACUCUGUUACAUUGCUCUCAAGGUUUCUGUGCCUACUGUAUAUAAUAAUAAAAAAAAUCAAGUGCUUCAUUUUAUGUUUAAUUUCAUUUAUCUAGCAAUUCAUCUUUAUUGCAUUUUCCCAGUGAAUUUGUCCAUGACAGAUUAGAAACAAAAAUUUACUGUUCCUUUACUAUAGAUGGUUUGAGAAAUGCUGAUCUUGUUGAGCAGUGUCCUUGUGAAAUCUAUUAUUACUCCUGGAUGCAGCAGCUUGUGUAACUUGGACUGCUUCCCACAGAGAAGGAGUUAUAUUGCUUUUGUCUUCCUCAAAUCUUGAUAAUAUUGAGGAGAAGCAGAUUGCCAUUGGAGGACUUGGUGAAGAUGUAAUUCUCCCUUGCUUAUUUAAGAGUGCGCCUGAAGUAGUAGUUCAUUGGAAGAAUCAAGAGAGCUAUGUGCACUCAUACUACAAAGACCAUGACUGGAAAGGCAAGAUCACAGAUACACAAACAGGACAUCCCUCUUACAUAGUGAAAUGGAAAUGCCUCCUUAUCAUUUAGAAGAUUAAGCCUUCCGGAUGAAGGAAUUUACAUAUGCUAUGUGGGAACAGCAUCUAGAAACCUCAUAAACAAAGCGGUACUAAAGGUGGGAGGUAAGUAUGCAUGGAAGGUUUGAUAAAACAUAGAAAUAAUAUCAUUCCAUGUUUUUCUAAAAUAUCUCUUUCUUAAUUGAAUAUGGACUACCUUGCAAGUCAAUACAAAUCUACCUCAUGUUUUAAAUGCAUGGUAUCUCAUAGUAUAGACAUGUUAUAACUGAUACAUCCAUUCCUCUACUGGUAGAUAUUCCAGUGUUUUACAUGACAGGUGUUGUGAUGAGCAUUCUUGUAUUUAAUAG